UGACUUAGUCUUGGUUCUUUCUGUGCUACCUUUAGAUCCAAUGCACUUCAGCUUCCAGCAUGAGGCUUAUCCAUUGCACUCCAGAUGUGCUGACCCCUGCGAUAUCCCCAAAUGUUGGAAACUCGACUACAUAAUUUGUGAUCAUGGGGAACUGCUUUUGUACUCUCCCCUA
Prolemur simus (greater bamboo lemur) is the source of this 172-nucleotide small nuclear RNA. Its record names the gene U1. It matches the Rfam family "U1 spliceosomal RNA". From Rfam's summary of the family: U1 is a small nuclear RNA (snRNA) component of the spliceosome (involved in pre-mRNA splicing). Its 5' end forms complementary base pairs with the 5' splice junction, thus defining the 5' donor site of an intron. The record is from Ensembl. NCBI's taxonomy places the organism in Eukaryota, Metazoa, Chordata, Mammalia, Primates, Lemuridae.